This 388-nucleotide ribosomal RNA is filed under the name uncultured bacterium. RNAcentral describes it as "bacterial SSU rRNA". It matches the Rfam family "Bacterial small subunit ribosomal RNA", at positions 30 to 416 of the family's 1533-position model. The record is from RNAcentral.
AUUGAACGCUGGCGGCAUGCUUUACACAUGCAAGUCGAACGGCAGCACGGGUGCUUGCACCUGGUGGCGAGUGGCGGACGGGUGAGUAAUACAUCGGAACGUGUCCAGAAGAGGGGGAUAACGCAUCGAAAGAUGUGCUAAUACCGCAUAUACUCUAAGGAGGAAAGCAGGGGAUCGAAAGACCUUGCGCUUUUGGAGCGGCCGAUGUCUGAUUAGCUAGUUGGUGGGGUAAGGGCCUACCAAGGCGACGAUCAGUAGUUGGUCUGAGAGGACGACCAGCCACACUGGGACUGAGACACGGCCCAGACUCCUACGGGAGGCAGCAGUGGGGAAUUUUGGACAAUGGGCGCAAGCCUGAUCCAGCAAUGCCGCGUGAGUGAAGAAGGCC